This is a long non-coding RNA of Xiphias gladius (swordfish), 499 nucleotides long. RefSeq lists it as uncharacterized. The record is from RefSeq and is a predicted model, not a curated record. The transcript has 3 exons. Lineage: Eukaryota; Metazoa; Chordata; Actinopteri; Istiophoriformes; Xiphiidae.
CUCCUAGUCAACAGCCGAACAGCAAUGCAGUGGCAUAUUUCUGCGGCAGAUAACGCCACACGUUCACUUUACCUUCCUAAUCAGGCUUGAAACGCAUCGAAACCCACAAUGACAGGCAGCCGAAUUCAACGGAAUAUGUCGGGUGUUUUUUGGCCUGGAGACGACGGCGCUGCGCAGGGAUGGGAGACGGGGGAAAGCACGAAUCCCGAGGAGGACUGCCGAAAGCUCGGGCUCGUCCAUGACCAUGUCGUUGAGUGUCUUUUCCAAACGUCUCCUUUCCUGUCACAAUAAACCAGAGGAUCCUACAAUUUCUCAUGACAAGGAUCCACUAAAGAAAAACCCCAUCACACCAUUUCACAAUCAAUUUCAUGAGAUUUUUGUCAAAAGAUUUUUUUUGUUAGGUACCACUGAGAAUUACUAGAGAAUUACAAAGGUGGGCACACUGUAGAUGAGAGGGUAAGCGUGUGAAAGAAUAGAAUAAAAAUCUACUUGAACCUUU